Molecule: non-coding RNA, 100 nt
Organism: Acidimicrobium sp.
Lineage: Bacteria; Bacillati; Actinomycetota; Acidimicrobiia; Acidimicrobiales; Acidimicrobiaceae
Source: Rfam
UUGACUGCAUCGAAGUUGCCCGACGCACAGGCGGCUUAUGAAAGCUCAGCAACUCUUUUGCCGACUUUGAUGGCUGGCACCAAUUUCGUUCUUCAUGCCG